RNAcentral lists this ribosomal RNA (751 nucleotides) under Triticum aestivum (bread wheat). Its description in RNAcentral is "partial small subunit ribosomal RNA". The record is from RNAcentral. Lineage: Eukaryota; Viridiplantae; Streptophyta; Magnoliopsida; Poales; Poaceae.
ACACAUCUCCUAUUACAGAAAAUUCAGAAAGAGAGAUAAGCAGCGACAAGAUAGAAGAAGAAGAGAAGCAGUAGGAGAUUGAGGAAGGAGCAGCAGCAAGUUCGUGGGGGAAGGAGGAGCAGCAAAAGGUUCUGAGAAGAUACAGGAAGCAGUAAGGUAGGUGAAGGGAGCAGGAAGUCGCAAGAAGAAGCAGCAGCAACGCGGGGAUGUAGAGAGGAGAAGGAGGAGCAGGGGCGCAACAAGAAGGGAGCAGCAGCGGGGCUUGGAGAAGAAGCAGUAGAAGCAACAGCAAGGCGAGGGAAGAAGGAGCAGCAGCAAGGAAACUCUCGCGCGGAGGUGCUCAGUGGUGCGGUGGUGAUGGUGGCACGGUGAAGCGGGGAGUGGUGGUGAUGGAUGGCGGCGGUGUGGAGCGUGUGGAGGUGCUGGGUGGCGCGCCGCCACGCCAGCCUGGCCGCGGCGGCGGCCGGAGAUGGAAGAAGAAGUGGUGAGGGAGAGAGAUGGAGAUGCCAGACCCGAUGGGGAUCGGCAGCCUCUAGGGAUUUUGACCCCUCCUCUGAUCUGCCACUUUGCAAUUUUGGCCCUUCUCCUUUUCUUCUUUCUUCACAAGAAGGUCCCUUUCUUCUUUAACUUGUCCCCUGGAGCAUCAUUUCUUCACACACAAGUCCCUCUGUCUUUCUUCUUUCUUUUCACUUGACCGGUUCCCUUAACCACUAGUCUGGAUCUUGAAGUUUAUAAUGCCUUUGCGCACUUU